AAACCAACCGGGAUUGCCUCAGUAACGGCGAGUGAAGCGGCAAAAAGCUCAAAUUUGAAAUCUGGCACUUUCAGUGUCCGAGUUGUAAUUUGUAGAAGUAGUUUUGGGACUGGUCCUUAUCUAUGUUUCUUGGAACAGGACGUCAUAGAGGGUGAGAACCCGUAUGAUGAGACCCCCAGUCCUUUGUAAAACGCUUUCGAAGAGUCGAGUUGUUUGGGAAUGCAGCUCUAAGUGGGUGGUAAAUUCCAUCUAAAGCUAAAUAUUGGCGAGAGACCGAUAGCGAACAAGUACAGUGAUGGAAAGAUGAAAAGAACUUUGAAAAGAGAGUGAAAAAGUACGUGAAAUUGUUGAAAGGGAAGGGCAUUUGAUCAGACAUGGUGUUUUGCGCCCUUUGCUCCUUGUGGGCGGGGGAUACGCAGCUCACUGGGCCAACAUCAGUUUUGGGAGCAGGAUAAAUCUGUAGGAACGUAGCUUUCUCGGGAAUGUUAUAGCCUAUGGGAAUACUGCUACCUGGGA
Molecule: ribosomal RNA, 516 nt
Filed under: uncultured Hanseniaspora
Lineage: Eukaryota; Fungi; Ascomycota; Saccharomycetes; Saccharomycodales; Saccharomycodaceae
Description: eukaryotic LSU rRNA
Rfam family: Eukaryotic large subunit ribosomal RNA
Source: RNAcentral